Vicia villosa (hairy vetch) is the source of this 1740-nucleotide long non-coding RNA. RefSeq lists it as uncharacterized. The record is from RefSeq and is a predicted model, not a curated record. Lineage: Eukaryota; Viridiplantae; Streptophyta; Magnoliopsida; Fabales; Fabaceae. The transcript is spliced from 3 exons.
UAGACGCGAGCGGGCGGCGGCGCAUCUGGCGUCGACCCAGGGACGGGGGCAGGGACGGGGACGCCGUGUCUGCGUUCCACAGGACUUGGUGGAGAGUUCAUCUGCUUCAGGCUCUAGGAGUAGGCUGGCUCGGGUAUCUUCUUCCCGCCAGCGAGAGGAGGAGGAUGAGGAUGAGGAGGAGGAGGAGGUCAUACCGGAUGUUGACCCUCCAGUCGGGGAGGAGGAGGAGCAGGAGGUGGAUAGCUUUCCGGGAGGGCCUUUUGACACUUCCCUGCUGAUUCACUACCAGGAUCACGUCGCUCGGCGGAUCUGGGAGGGAGAGGAGAGAGAGCCAUUGAAAAUGGUGAACCACUCCAGGAAGAUUUUCGGUCUGUUUAAACCAGCAGCUCAGUGGUUUAACGACCAUGUGCGAGGUUCAGGGCUUUGCGGGCUCUGCAUGACCGGGUACACCACCAUCAGCACCGGCAUACAGGGGGCAUUUGUGGAGCGCUGGCACAAGGAGACGUCUUUUUUCCACUUGCCGGUGGGGGAGUUGACGAUCACCUUGCAUGACGUCCAGUGUCUUCUCCACCUGCCUAUUAGGGGGCCGCUGUUGGACCACUCCAGGAUCCAGAGGGCCGAGGCCAUUGAGUGGAUGAUGCACUAUUUGGGCCUGCCGCACGAGGUUGCUCACCUGGAGUGCGUCUCGACUUCUGGGCCUCAUGUCCGGUUCAACACACUGAGCCUCUAUUUUGAGUUCCACCUGGACGCGGCGGUCGAGGCCGAGCAGGAGGGUAACGACCUAUUCAGGGAGUACCACCGCGGCUGCGCUCUUCGGUGCUGGUACAUGCAUGUGGUAGGCGCUGCAUGCUUUGUGGACAAGAGCCCCAGGUACGUCGACGUGGCCUACCUCCGCUAUUUCAUGGACCUGGAUACCGUUCACCAGUGGAACUAGGGGGCAGCUACUCUGGCAUAUCUCUACCAGAAGCUGAAUGAGGCCUCCAACUGGAGGACGAGGCAGCUGGUCGGAUCCUGCACUCUGCUUACGAGCUGGAUCAUCUCCUACUUCUCCCGCAUCCACGGCUUCCACAUCGAUCCUGUGUACGUUGACGCCAUGCCCAGGGCCGCCAGAUACGCCCUCCAGAGGGGGAACGAUGCGGUGGGACCAUACCGCCUGUACCUGGACCGCACGAUGCACGACGACGUCACCUGGAGGCCGUUCGCCGACUAUGCUCAGGUUGUCCCCUUCGACGGGGUUGCUCUAUAUUCAGGCUGGUUGGCAUGCGGGACCGGCAUCAUGGUCCGGUAUCUCCCGGAGCGGUGCAUGCGGCAGUUUGGGUUCGUGCAGAUCAUACCCAGGUCACCCUUCGAGGCUGCUCCUGACACAGUGACCAGAGUGCAGCUCACUGCCAUAUGGGAGGAGUGGCAGCAUCAUGUGGUAUUGGAGGAGUACCGUCGCAUGCGGGUCACCCAGGACUGGCACAGUGUGGAGGGGUACGUCACAUGGUUCUACCGGGUGUCCCAUCCUCUCUUGAGACUCGACGUUCCCGGCGCUCCUAGGCCAGCACACGAGGAGAUCCUGGAGAACCGGCAGGCGGAGGAUGACCACGCCAUUGAUCUCCUUCCGAUCUGCCAGCGGAUAGAGAUGCUUGGGCGGGACGCGUUGCAUCGAGGUGUCAUUCAUCAGGGCGGACCAGAGGCAGUCGCCGUGAUGGAGAUGAUCGUCACUGAUGCGGGCCGAGCGGCGGGGUACAGGCGGCA